Molecule: ribosomal RNA, 770 nt
Filed under: Abgrallaspis perseae
Lineage: Eukaryota; Metazoa; Arthropoda; Insecta; Hemiptera; Diaspididae
Description: eukaryotic LSU rRNA
Rfam family: Eukaryotic large subunit ribosomal RNA
Source: RNAcentral
AGAACUUUGAAGAGAGAGUUCAAUAGUACGUGAAACCGUUCGGGGGUAAACGGACAGAGCCCGUGAAUCUGGGCGGCGGAAUUCAGGAUGGCUGGCGUGCUCUCGCGGUGCGUCGGUCGUUUGAUAUUUCCGUCGCCAACUAUCGCAGACGUCGCGACCUGUUCGCGGUCGGUCCUUGCUCGGAGGAGCCGUGUUCGAGUUCGUUGUGUGCGCGCUUCUGGCGCGUCACACGGCGAAGACGCGGAUCUCUGGCUGGCCGUCGGACAGUAUGCUCAACGGUGUCCGAUGUCGUCGUCUCGUACGCGCGGCAUCGGUACCGGUCAGCGACGAAUUCUUCGGGCCUCUUUCCGACCCGUCUUGAAACACGGACCAAGGAGUCUAACAUGCGCGCGAGUCGCGGGGUAUCGAGCGUACUUCGGUGCGUUCGUUAUGUUGCGAAACCCGUACAUGUCGAAGGCGUAAUGAAAGUGAAUGGGGAAGAUGGUGUUCCGAGUUCACGUUCCGCGAUCGUCGGUAUCGCGGCCGGACACCCGCAUUCCCGGGGCGUCUCAACGGCCCGUCGCUGAUGCGGACAGUCGUCUUUCGGGGCGGCUGUCGGUCGGCGACGAACCGAGGCGCACCUAUAGCGUGCACGUUGGUACCCGAAAGAUGGUGAACUAUGCCUGGCCAGGAUGAAGUCAGGGGAAACCCUGAUGGAGGUCCGCAGCGAUUCUGACGUGCAAAUCGAUCGUCUGAGCUGGGUAUAGGGGCGAAAGACUAAUCGAACCAUC